This 469-nucleotide ribosomal RNA is filed under the name uncultured bacterium. RNAcentral describes it as "partial 16S ribosomal RNA". It matches the Rfam family "Bacterial small subunit ribosomal RNA", at positions 28 to 507 of the family's 1533-position model. The record is from RNAcentral.
GACGAACGCUGGCGGCGUGCUUAACACAUGCAAGUCGAACGGAAAGGCCCUGCUUGCAGGGUGCUCGAGUGGCGAACGGGUGAGUAACACGUGGGUGAUCUGCCUCUUAUUUUGGGAUAAGCCUGGGAAACUGGGUCUAAUACUGGAUAGGACCAUGCUGUAGGUGGUGUGGUGGAAAGAUUAGUUUCGGUAAGGGAUGAGCUCGCGGCCUAUCAGCUUGUUGGUGGGGUAAUGGCCUACCAAGGCGUCGACGGGUAGCCGGCCUGAGAGGGUGGACGGCCACAUUGGGACUGAGAUACGGCCCAGACUCCUACGGGAGGCAGCAGUGGGGAAUAUUGCACAAUGGGCGCAAGCCUGAUGCAGCGACGCCGCGUGGGGGAUGACGGCCUUCGGGUUGUAAACUCCUUUCAGCCAUGACGAAGCCCUUGUGGUGACGGUAGUGGUAGAAGAAGCACCGGCUAACUACGUG